RNAcentral lists this ribosomal RNA (588 nucleotides) under uncultured bacterium. RNAcentral describes it as "partial 16S ribosomal RNA". It matches the Rfam family "Bacterial small subunit ribosomal RNA", at positions 355 to 933 of the family's 1533-position model. The record is from RNAcentral.
UGGGGAAUAUUGGACAAUGGGCGCAAGCCUGAUCCAGCAAUGCCGCGUGUGUGAAGAAGGCCUUCGGGUUGUAAAGCACUUUUAUCAGGAGCGAAACGCUGUCGGCUAAUACCCGGCGGAACUGACGGUACCUGAGGAAUAAGCACCGGCUAACUUCGUGCCAGCAGCCGCGGUAAUACGAAGGGUGCAAGCGUUAAUCGGAAUUACUGGGCGUAAAGCGUGCGUAGGCGGUUUCUUAAGUCUGCUGUGAAAUCCCCGGGCUCAACCUGGGAAUGGCAGUGGAUACUGGGAGGCUAGAGUGUGUCAGAGGGUGGUGGAAUUCCCGGUGUAGCGGUGAAAUGCGUAGAGAUCGGGAGGAACAUCAGUGGCGAAGGCGGCCACCUGGGACAACACUGACGCUGAGGCACGAAAGCGUGGGGAGCAAACAGGAUUAGAUACCCUGGUAGUCCACGCCCUAAAACGAUGCGAACUGGAUGUUGGUCUCAACUCGGAGAUCAGUGUCGAAGCUAACGCGUUAAGUUCGCCGCCUGGGGAGUACGGUCGCAAGACUGAAACUCAAAGGAAUUGACGGGGUCAUGAGCUGUUUCC